GGUCUAUUAGUCUAGUUGGUUAGGACGUCGGAUUCUGACUCUUCCAAGGUUGGAAUUUUCCGUAAGCCCAGGUUCGAAUCCUGGAUGGACCU
RNAcentral lists this transfer RNA (92 nucleotides) under Colletotrichum tofieldiae. It matches the Rfam family "tRNA". From Rfam's summary of the family: Transfer RNA (tRNA) molecules are approximately 80 nucleotides in length. Their secondary structure includes four short double-helical elements and three loops (D, anti-codon, and T loops). The record is from Rfam by way of RNAcentral. Lineage: Eukaryota; Fungi; Ascomycota; Sordariomycetes; Glomerellales; Glomerellaceae.